Long non-coding RNA from Cucurbita maxima (winter squash), 333 nucleotides. RefSeq lists it as uncharacterized. The transcript is spliced from 2 exons. The record is from RefSeq and is a predicted model, not a curated record. NCBI's taxonomy places the organism in Eukaryota, Viridiplantae, Streptophyta, Magnoliopsida, Cucurbitales, Cucurbitaceae.
GAUUCUCAGAUUUCCUUCAUGAGAUAUAGUAAGAGUUAGAACCUGAAAUUUGAGUAUGUUAAUCUACAUAGGAUUACGCUCAAAAUCUGUGAAGGAAGUUGGAAUCGAUUCAGAUCGAAAAUGGGAGUUCCGGCGUUCGUCAAAGAGGUACCGGUCGAGGUGGAGGAGCGUUCGAGAGCUGUGCGGUCACAGAGGGGAUUGUUCUGGAGCGUCGGUCCCUUGUCGGUCUUUUAGAGUCUUUUGUAUUUCCUUUUAUAUUUGUAAUUCCUCUGGUCAUAAUUUCGAAACAAAUAUUCUCUCUCUUGUUUUAAUUAAAUGGUAUUCUUAUCUUUU